Molecule: microRNA, 22 nt
Filed under: Eptesicus fuscus (big brown bat)
Lineage: Eukaryota; Metazoa; Chordata; Mammalia; Chiroptera; Vespertilionidae
Description: efu-miR-9197
Source: miRBase by way of RNAcentral
UACGCUUUGAUUGUUUGAAUGG